This 455-nucleotide long non-coding RNA is filed under the name Anas platyrhynchos platyrhynchos (common mallard). RNAcentral describes it as "lncRNA (ENSAPLG00000022029.1)". Lineage: Eukaryota; Metazoa; Chordata; Aves; Anseriformes; Anatidae. The record is from RNAcentral.
UAUAACUACAGACCAUGACCAACAACCCACAUAAAGCGUGUGCAAACACAAGUGAUUAAUGUACCAGGAUUUCAAAACAUCUACAACUAACGAGUCAGAUUUCACAGGGUGCAGGAGAGGGAAGAGGAGCAGAAGGGGAUGGGUGGGAACAGGGAUAUGCGUGGGGGGUAGCAGGGCAAGGGGCUGCUUGCAAGUAAAGGAGGAAUGAGGAACAAUUUGAUGAGUCUUAACAGCCUAUCUCAGGGCACUCCUGUGUGCUGCCUCACUGGGGCACAAUCCUUUGGUGGUAACCACAUCCUCAAAUGGUCACCGAAGAGAUGCAGGGAUAAUGGGUUACAAAGACAGACAUUAAUAAGUGCCCAACUGGCUUCAGUGGAGUGAUUUCUAACCUGAACUGCCACGGUUGCCUGUGGAGGAAUAAGGCCUCAGAAGCAUCUUGAUAUGUUGAUGUACCU